GGCCGCAUUGCACCUCGCGGCC
This 22-nucleotide unclassified non-coding RNA is filed under the name Drosophila melanogaster (fruit fly). RNAcentral's name for it is "U1-SL2 from Drosophila melanogaster (PDB 6F4H, chain B)". Lineage: Eukaryota; Metazoa; Arthropoda; Insecta; Diptera; Drosophilidae. The record is from RNAcentral.